This 65-nucleotide transfer RNA is filed under the name Grigoriora cheni. Its description in RNAcentral is "tRNA-Thr". It matches the Rfam family "tRNA". Rfam says of the family: Transfer RNA (tRNA) molecules are approximately 80 nucleotides in length. Their secondary structure includes four short double-helical elements and three loops (D, anti-codon, and T loops). Lineage: Eukaryota; Metazoa; Arthropoda; Insecta; Orthoptera; Tettigoniidae. The record is from RNAcentral.
GUUUUAGUAGUUUAAAUAAAAACACUGGUCUUGUAAACCAAUAUUAAGUAUUUACUUCUAAAACU